This 138-nucleotide ribosomal RNA is filed under the name Escherichia coli. RNAcentral's name for it is "partial 16S ribosomal RNA". It matches the Rfam family "Bacterial small subunit ribosomal RNA", at positions 1 to 132 of the family's 1533-position model. Lineage: Bacteria; Pseudomonadati; Pseudomonadota; Gammaproteobacteria; Enterobacterales; Enterobacteriaceae. The record is from RNAcentral.
AAAUUGAAGAGUUUGAUCAUGGCUCAGAUUGAACGCUGGCGGCAGGCCUAACACAUGCAAGUCGAACGGUAACAGGAAGAAGCUUGCUUCUUUGCUGACGAGUGGCGGACGGGUGAGUAAUGUCUGGGAAAUUGCCUG